RNAcentral lists this ribosomal RNA (468 nucleotides) under uncultured bacterium. RNAcentral describes it as "partial 16S ribosomal RNA". It matches the Rfam family "Bacterial small subunit ribosomal RNA", at positions 28 to 507 of the family's 1533-position model. The record is from RNAcentral.
GACGAACGCUGGCGGCGUGCUUAACACAUGCAAGUCGAACGGAAAGGCCCUGCUUUUGUGGGGUGCUCGAGUGGCGAACGGGUGAGUAACACGUGAGUAACCUGCCCUUGACUUUGGGAUAACUUCAGGAAACUGGGGCUACUACCGGAUAGGAGCUCCUGCUGCAUGGUGGGGGUUGGAAAGUUUCGGCGGUUGGGGAUGGACUCGCGGCUUAUCAGCUUGUUGGUGGGGUAGUGGCUUACCAAGGCUUUGACGGGUAGCCAGCCUGAGAGGGUGACCGGCCACAUUGGGACUGAGAUACGGCCCAGACUCCUACGGGAGGCAGCAGUGGGGAAUAUUGCACAAUGGGCGGAAGCCUGAUGCAGCAACGCCGCGUGCGGGAUGACGGCCUUCGGGUUGUAAACCGCUUUCGCCUGUGACGAAGCGUGAGUGACGGUAAUGGGUAAAGAAGCACCGGCUAACUACGUG